GAUCCUGGCUCAGAUUGAACGCUGGCGGCAUGCCUUACACAUGCAAGUCGAACGGCAGCAUGGAGAGCUUGCUCUCUGAUGGCGAGUGGCGAACGGGUGAGUAAUACAUCGGAACGUGUCCGUUUGUGGGGGACAACCGUCCGAAAGGACGGCUAAUACCGCAUAAGACCUGAAGGUGAAAGCCGGGGACCGCAAGGCCCGGCGCAGACGGAGCGGCCGAUGAUUGAUUAGCUAGUUGGGG
Molecule: ribosomal RNA, 241 nt
Filed under: uncultured bacterium
Lineage: Bacteria
Description: partial 16S ribosomal RNA
Rfam family: Bacterial small subunit ribosomal RNA
Source: RNAcentral